This 133-nucleotide ribosomal RNA is filed under the name Erinaceus europaeus (western European hedgehog). The record is from RNAcentral. Lineage: Eukaryota; Metazoa; Chordata; Mammalia; Eulipotyphla; Erinaceidae.
GUCUACGGCCAUACCACCCUGAACACGGCCCGAUCUCAUCUGAUCUCGGAAGCUAAGCAGGGUCGGGCCUGGUUAGUACUUGGAUGGGAGAAAUAAAUUUUUACUGAGAGAUACACACAGAGCACUGCUCAGC